Molecule: transfer RNA, 73 nt
Filed under: Anaerolineae bacterium
Lineage: Bacteria; Bacillati; Chloroflexota; Anaerolineae
Description: tRNA-Glu
Rfam family: tRNA
About the family: Transfer RNA (tRNA) molecules are approximately 80 nucleotides in length. Their secondary structure includes four short double-helical elements and three loops (D, anti-codon, and T loops). Further hydrogen bonds mediate the characteristic L-shaped molecular structure. tRNAs have two regions of fundamental functional importance: the anti-codon, which is responsible for specific mRNA codon recognition, and the 3' end, to which the tRNAs corresponding amino acid is attached (by aminoacyl-tRNA synthetases). tRNAs cope with the degeneracy of the genetic code in two manners: having more than one tRNA (with a specific anti-codon) for a particular amino acid; and 'wobble' base-pairing, i.e. permitting non-standard base-pairing at the 3rd anti-codon position.
Source: RNAcentral
GCUCCUAUCGUCUAGCGGUCGAGGACGUCGCCCUUUCAAGGCGAAAACAUGGGUUCGAGUCCCAUUAGGAGCA